Molecule: ribosomal RNA, 253 nt
Filed under: uncultured bacterium
Lineage: Bacteria
Description: partial 16S ribosomal RNA
Rfam family: Bacterial small subunit ribosomal RNA
Source: RNAcentral
UACAGAGGUCCCAAGCGUUGCUCGGAUUCACUGGGCGUAAAGGGUGCGUAGGCGGUUGGGUAAGUCUGAUGUGAAAUCUCACAGCUUAACUGUGAAACUGCAUUGGAUACUAUCCGGCUAGAGGAAUGGAGGGGAGACUGGAAUACUUGGUGUAGCAGUGAAAUGCGUAGAUAUCAAGUGGAACACCAGUGGCGAAGGCGAGUCUCUGGACAUUUCCUGACGCUGAGGCACGAAAGCGUGGGGAUCAAACAGG